This 498-nucleotide ribosomal RNA is filed under the name uncultured bacterium. RNAcentral describes it as "partial 16S ribosomal RNA". It matches the Rfam family "Bacterial small subunit ribosomal RNA", at positions 29 to 523 of the family's 1533-position model. The record is from RNAcentral.
AUUGAACGCUGGCGGCAUGCCUUACACAUGCAAGUCGAACGGUAACGCGGGGCAACCUGGCGACGAGUGGCGAACGGGUGAGUAAUGCAUCGGAACGUGCCCGGUCGUGGGGGAUAACGCAGCGAAAGCUGCGCUAAUACCGCAUACGAUCUGAGGAUGAAAGCGGGGGACCGUAAGGCCUCGCGCGAUCCGACCGGCCGAUGUCAGAUUAGGUAGUUGGUGGGGUAAAGGCUCACCAAGCCAACGAUCUGUAGCUGGUCUGAGAGGACGACCAGCCACACUGGGACUGAGACACGGCCCAGACUCCUACGGGAGGCAGCAGUGGGGAAUUUUGGACAAUGGGCGAAAGCCUGAUCCAGCAAUGCCGCGUGCAGGAAGAAGGCCUUCGGGUUGUAAACUGCUUUUGUACGGAGCGAAAAGGUCUCCUCUAAUACAGGGGGCUCAUGACGGUACCGUAAGAAUAAGCACCGGCUAACUACGUGCCAGCCGCCGCCGUAA